Pyrus x bretschneideri (Chinese white pear) is the source of this 914-nucleotide long non-coding RNA. RefSeq lists it as uncharacterized. Lineage: Eukaryota; Viridiplantae; Streptophyta; Magnoliopsida; Rosales; Rosaceae. The record is from RefSeq and is a predicted model, not a curated record. The transcript is spliced from 2 exons.
UAAUGUGGUAAAUGAAUAAGUACAAAAGCCUCCAUAAAAAUCUUUUCGAAGAUUUCAACCUGGUCGAAAUUAAAAAAAGAUAUCCCUACCAAGAAAUGACAUAGUACUAUCUGCACCAGUACAAUCAAAGUAAAGGGUUUGGGUUGCACAAAAAGGACGUGUACCAUCCCAAAUGAGUAUUUGAGCCACUAAUCCCUGCACCAAUGGUCGCAUACGCAACAUGACAUGUUUAUAUCUGAUGAAUUACUACUAAAAUCUUGUACACAUAUGAAAUACGUUGUGAAAAUCUACCUAAUCUAGAAUAAAACAUUUUCUAUAAUUGUAACAAGAAAAUGAUGCUUAGCCCUGAGAGUUUCUUCUUUUCUCUCUCUCUCUCGAGAGUUCUUCCUUCUGUUUGAGGGUACUUCUCACCUUCUUAUGUGAGUGAUCCCGAUUGUGCUUCCCUUGGCUACCGCCGGUCCUAGCUGUGGCUGGUUCUUCCAUCUCCUGCUGGUUCUUCCAAUUUUCCCCUUUGGCUUUCCCAAUUCUUCAAACCCUGUGGCGCCCGUGGAGGGGAUGAUCUGCAGUGGGUGAAGGAUUGAGUGGCUGGCUAAUUCUUGGAUCGGCGACCACAGUGGAUGGUUCUCGGUUGUUCGUUUUUGUUUGGGCUGGUGGGCUAUUUUUCUGUGUUUUCUUUGUUUUUAGGCCCGUUCUUUGUUUGUUUCUAGGAAAAAAUUAGGCAUUUGCUUGAUUUGUAAGUGUGUUUGCUUUAAUAAAAGUUCCUUGUUGGUGAUCCUUUUGGAUCCCACCUCCAAAAAAAAAAAAACAAAACAAAAAAAAAAUAGAAAAUGAUGUUUAGCUAAUGGGAGUAAAAGACAAACAAUGUUGCUGUUCUUAUCCAACCAUUGAUCGAAUUCAAACAAUUUAACACUCAA